Pelobates cultripes (western spadefoot toad) is the source of this 526-nucleotide non-coding RNA. Lineage: Eukaryota; Metazoa; Chordata; Amphibia; Anura; Pelobatidae. The record is from the annotation of a GenBank genome assembly.
GCUUUUUUCAUUAAAAAAUUCUGUUAGUCCAAUAAAUAAUGUAUUACAAGAUAAAAAAAUUAUUUGUUUUUCACAUCUACAUCACUGGACUAAUACGGCUACAAUCUCUACUUGAACACUCUGUAAAAUAGGAAAGAGUAAACAAUCUCUACGUAUCAGACCAUGAUCUCACUUGUUCAGACCUUGCAUUUCCACUUUGUGUCCUGACUCCGAGCAACAGUGGAUCUUAUUGGACAUCACAUCCUCCUCUACAUCUUUGAAUUUAAAGGGAAACUAUAAUGCCCGGAAAACAAAGUAGUUGUUUUCCUGAAACUAUAGUGCCCCUUUCUGUCACUUACCUGAGUCUAGCGCUGAUGUCUCUCAGCGCUGGCUGGGGCUCUGCCUCUGCUCUGACAUCAGCCAGCGGGAGAGACCUAAUGCACAAUUAUACAAUGUUUUCCUUUGGGGUUUUGGGUGAUGCUGGAUGUCAUCAUCCAUAGCGUGAGGAUGUCCAGCAUCAGGCCACCAAAAGUCACCUAGCGACCUG